GCUGGGUGCAGUGGUGUAUACCUGAAGUCCCAGGUUGGGAGGCUGAGGCAGGAGGGUCACUUAAGCCAAGGAGUCUGGGGCCAACCUGGGAAACCUAGUGAGACUCUGUCUCGC
This 114-nucleotide small RNA is filed under the name Marmota monax (woodchuck). The record is from RNAcentral. Lineage: Eukaryota; Metazoa; Chordata; Mammalia; Rodentia; Sciuridae.